RNAcentral lists this ribosomal RNA (3528 nucleotides) under Gossypium raimondii (Peruvian cotton). RNAcentral describes it as "eukaryotic LSU rRNA". The stretch from base 386 to 3528 matches the Rfam family "Eukaryotic large subunit ribosomal RNA", at positions 1 to 2820 of the family's 3401-position model. Lineage: Eukaryota; Viridiplantae; Streptophyta; Magnoliopsida; Malvales; Malvaceae. The record is from RNAcentral.
GCUCUUGGCAAUGGAUAUCUCGACUCUCGCAUCGAUGAAGAACAAGCGAAAUGCGAUACCUGGUGUGAAUUGCAGAAUCCUGUGAUCCAUCGAGUCUUUGAAUGCAAGUUGUGCCCCAACCCAUUCGGCUGAGGGCAUGUCUGCCUGGGUGUCACGCAUCUUCGUGCCCAUCCAACCAUGAGCUCUCGAGCUUCGGUUGGACCGCAGGGGAAAAUUGGCCUCCUGUGCUCUCACAGCCAGCGGUUGGCCUAAAUUUGAGACCUCGAUGAUAUCAUUGUCACGACGAUCGGUGGUAAUGUUGUAAGCAACCUUGUACAGAGUCGUGCACGUUCGUCGAUCAAGACCUUUGGAGCCUUUUGGCCUCGCAAGGUUGGUGCUCGCAUCGUGACCCCAAGUCAGGCGGGAUUACCCAGUGAGUUUAAGCAUAUCAAUAAGAGGAGGAAAAGAAACUUACUAGGAUUCCCCUAGUAGUGGCGAGAGAACCGGAAAAAGCCCAGCUUGAGAAUCGGUCGCCAUCGGAGUCCGAAUUGUAGUCUGGAGAAGCGUCUUCAGUGACGGACCAGGUCUAAGUCCCCUGGAAAGGGGCGCCGGAGAGGGUGAGAGCCCCGUCGUGCCUGGACCCUAUCGCACCACAAGGCACUCUCUACAAGUCGGGUUAUUUGGGAAUACAGCCCUAAUCGGGCGGUAAAUUCCGUCCAAGGCUAAAUAUGGGCGAGAGACCGAUAGCGAACAUGUACCGCGAGGGAAAGAUGAAAAGGACUUUGAAAAGAGAGUCAAAGAGUGCUUGAAAUUGUCGGGAGGGAAGCGGAUGGGGGCUAAUGAUGGGCCUCGAUCGGAUAUGGAACAGCGAGAAUAGGGCCUCAAAGAGAGUCCAUUCAGAAGUCGUAAUGAGGACGUUACGAGAAUGGGUGGGGGAAAAUGUCACAGGCCACAGUUCAAAGCCUGUGACCAUCGCACCAAAUGCAUCCAAUAGAGGUCUAUUGCUCAGAUGGGGAUCAUUUGGCCCACGAGAACUAGCCCGAUUCAAGGAGCUAUUGGAGAAGCCUGUCAGAUUGAAGCCUUGUUGGCCUGAUAAUGAAGACAUGGCAACUUAGGCUAAUAUGGUAACUAAUCUUAGAAGAUAGAGGGAAUCAUAUCUUGUAAAGAUUAGAUUAGAUUUGAUAUGGCAUAUCUUGUAAAUCCCUAAAAUAAAAGGAUAUGGCUAAUCUCGUUCGUUGAUGUAAAUGUAUCUUGACCGUCAGUUUUGGGAGAGCUCAACUAUAAAUAAAGAGCCUCCCCUCAGUUGUACUCACUUCAUUCAUUGUUUCAUUAUUCUUUGUGAAUAAGAGAAUUGAGAGCAUUUACUCAAACACAUUGCGAGCGCUCUUUCUGUUGUUCUUUUGUUUAGCUUCUUUUAGGAUAAAUCUCUUCCGCUCUUUAAUUUGGUGCCUUGGAGGAGUUCUUAAGGAAUCCUCACUUGAAUUAAGGCUGACUUAGGGGAGUUUGGAUGAACGAAUCAUCUAAGGCCGCACGGAUCACAAGAGAAAACUCUAGCCCCGUGACACUAGUAGCUGGUUCCCUCCGAAGUCUUCCUCAGGAUAGCUGGAGCCCUUAGCGAGUUGUAUCGGGUAAAAUCAAUGAUUAGAGGCAUCGGGGGCGCAACGCCCUCGACCUAUUCUCAAACUUUAAAUAGGUAAGACGGUGCGGCUGCUUUGUUGAGCCGCGCUACGAAAUCGAGAGCUCCAAGUGGGCCAUUUUUGGUAAGCGAAACUGGCGAUGCGGGAUGAACCAGAAGCCGGGUUAGGGUGCCCAACUAUGCGCUAACCUAGAAUCCACAAAGUGUGUUGGUCGAUUAACACAGCAGGACGGUGGUCAUGGAAGUCGAAAUCGCUAAGGAGUGUGUAAAAGCUCAUCUGCAGAAUCAACUAGCCCAGAAAAUGGAUGGCGCUUAAACGCGUGACCUAUACCCAGCCAUUGGGGCAAGGGCCAGGCCCCGAUGAUUAGGAGGGCGUGACGAUCAGCGUAAAACCUGAGGUCCGAGCUCGGGCGAAGCGGCCGUCAGUGCAAAUAUUCAAUUGAGAACUUUGAAGGCCGAAAAGAGGAAAGGUUCCAUGUAAACGGCACUUGCACAUGGGUUAGUCGAUCCUAAGAGACGGGGGAAGCCCGUUCGAUAGUGCGUCUAGCACGAGCUUUGAAAGGGAAUCGGGUUAAAAUUCUAGAACUGGGACGCGACGGCUGACAACAACGUUAGGGAGUCCGUAGACGUCGGCGGGGGCCUCGGGAAGAGUUAUCUUUUCUGUUUAACGGCCUGCCCACCCUGGAAACGACUCAGCCGGAGGUAGGGCCCAGCGGACAGAAUAGCACCGAACGUCACGUGGUGUCAGGUGCGCCCCCAGCGGCCCUUGAAAAUCUGGAGGACUGAGUGCCGUCCGCUCUCAUUCUUACUCAUAACCGCAUCAGGUCUCCAAGGUGAACAACCUCUAGUCAACGGAACAAUGUAGGCAAGAGAAGUCGGCAAAAUGGAUCCGUAACCUCGGGAAAAGGAUUGGCUCUAAAGGCUGGGCACGUGAGUCCCAGUCCGGCCGGGUAGUGCACCGUGCCGGCCGGGGGACGGACUGGGAACAGCUCCCACGGGGGCCUUCACCGGGCGACGGACAGUCGACUUAGAACUGGUACGGAAAAGAGGAAUCUGAUUGUUUAAUUAAAACAAAACAUUGCGAUGGUCCCUACGGAUGCUCACGCAAUGUGAUUUCUGCCCAGUGCUCUGAAUGUCAAAGUGCAGAAAUUCAACCAAGCGCGGGUAAAUGGCGGGAGUAACUAUGACUCUCUUAAGGUAUCCAAAUGCGCCGUCAUCUAAUUAGUGAAGCGCAUGAAUGGAUUAAUGAGAUUCCCACUAUCCCUGUCUACUAUCCAGCGAAACCACAACCAAGGGAACGGGCUUGGCAGAAUCAGCGGGGAAAGAAGACCCUAUUGAGCUUGACUCUAGUCUGACUUUGUGAAAUAACUUGAGAGGUGUCGGAUAAGUGGGAGCUCUCGGGCGAAACUGAAAUACCACUACUGUUAACGUUAUUUUACUUAUUCCGUGAAUCGAAGGUGGGGCACGACCCCUCUUGUUGGACCGAAGCCAGUCGAUCCGGGUGGAACACAUUGUCAGGUGGGGAGUUUGGCAUGGGAUCUUGCCACCAUAGUAGAUUCAUUUUUAUCCAUUGCAUUCAAGGGAGGUCAUUUGGCCCAACGGGACUGGUCCAUUGCUUGGAGGAAUUAAAAGCCCAACUCCGGAGCUUGGAAAAUAAGGAAAGUGAUCUUCUAAAGAUAUGUUUGGCAAAUAUGGAAGGUGAUCUUCGAAGAUAUGUGAUCCUAGAUAUUAAAUGAAAUCUUUAGAAGAUACGAUUAGGUAAUCUUAGAUAUUUGAUAUUGUGAUAGCUUUUAAUUAUAGCCAUUGGUGUAUUUUGAUUUAGACCGUUGAUUUUGGAGAGCCUCAGCUAUAAAUAGAGGACUCUCUACUCAUUGUAAAUUGUUCAGUUGUUAAUAGAAUUCUGAGAGUAUUCA